UACAGAGGGUGCGAGCGUUAAUCGGAAUUACUGGGCGUAAAGCGUGCGUAGACGGUUAUUUAAGUCGGACGUGAAAGCCCCGGGCUCAACCUGGGAAUUGCAUUCGAGACUGAAUAGCUAGGGUACGGUAGAGGGAAGCGGAAUUUCCGGUGUAGCGGUGAAAUGCGUAGAUAUCGGAAGGAACAUCAGUGGCGAAAGCGGCUUCCUGGACCAGUACCGACGUUCAGGCACGAAAGCGUGGGGAGCAAACAGG
RNAcentral lists this ribosomal RNA (253 nucleotides) under uncultured bacterium. RNAcentral's name for it is "partial 16S ribosomal RNA". It matches the Rfam family "Bacterial small subunit ribosomal RNA", at positions 524 to 776 of the family's 1533-position model. The record is from RNAcentral.